UAGGUGGUUGCCGUGCUAUUUCAGUCU
This 27-nucleotide non-coding RNA is filed under the name Homo sapiens (human). The record is from RNAcentral. Lineage: Eukaryota; Metazoa; Chordata; Mammalia; Primates; Hominidae.